Molecule: RNA transcript, 885 nt
Organism: Ostrea edulis (European flat oyster)
Lineage: Eukaryota; Metazoa; Mollusca; Bivalvia; Ostreida; Ostreidae
Exons: 3
Source: RefSeq, a predicted model, not a curated record
UUUUGCGAUCUCAACCGAAAGACCGCCCCAUUUAGUCGCCUCUUACGACAAGCAAGGGGAAGUGGGGACUUAUUCGAACCCGGAUCCCAUAUAGUUUUACGCUAAAUAUUUAAAUAUAAUUCAUUUUUACUCUAGAAGUACUUUGGACCUAAACUCUAUUAUGGAUAUAGCAGAACAGUUUUAUAGUUAUGAAAACAACUAUCUGUGCACUUCGCACCCUAUGAGAUUACAACGAAAAAGAAGCAAUCAACAGUUGUGAUCGAGAAGAGAGAAGGAGAAAAUUUCAAGUGUGAGAUUGUAUUUGAUGAGACUGAUAUGACAAUGGUACCAGAGCCAACUGUCAAACAGCACUCCAGCCAGCAACAUUUUCCUCUUGUAUUUUUUGACUUGGAAUCAACAGGAUUAACUAGAGAUUCUCAUAUUACACAGCUGUCGUGUGUGGUGAAGAAAAAUGUUCCACCUAUACCUUUCCAAAAAUACCUAUCACAGUAAAAGCCUCAGAAAUCACAGGAAUCGAAAUUGUCAAUGGAAAUAUGUUUAACAAAAAUAUAGAAGUCAAGCCUUUCAGCAGGAAUGGAUGCUCUGCUUAAUUUUGUUUCAAAAUUUUAAACUAAAGUAAUUCUGCAUUUACAAUGGCAGUGUAUGAAUGUCAACAAUAUACAGAAUGUUUAUUGUAUACUAUACCCAAUUUAACAUUUUCUGUUUAUGAGAGAGAGAGAGAGAGAGAGAGAGAGAGAGAGAGAGAGAGAGAGAGAGAGAGUUGCAAGAAUUGGAAAGUAACUGCAAAAAUCAUGUGCAAAUUGCAUCAGUAUUGAUGUGAACGGUGGUGAAUUUGUUCUCUGAAUUUUGAUACAUUUAAUGUACCAAAUGAAAUUAUCCUAAUAA